GGCGAUGUGGAGCGUGGGCAGCAAGGGGACGUGGCCUAAUAGAGAGGACAGGGACCCUGUCACACACACAGCCACACUCUGCGAUGCGUCCCGGAGCCGGGACAGCUGUUGACCUCGGGAGGAUGGCCACAGUACCGGCGGGAAUUCUCUGAAGAAUGGUGCGGAGGAGGCAGGGAAUCGCCCCUUCCUUCUCUAACCCUGCUUCUUCACUCCUGACUGUCAUUGGACAACCACACCCCCUUAGAGUUCUGUCCAUUUAAAAGUAGAACAGCUGUCCCAAAGAAUUCGGGUGCUGGGGGUGUUGCAGUUGCAGAAACCGAGGAGCCUGUAUCUGGGUCUCACUCAGACCUGCAUUGUUGAUCUUCCCCGGAAAGAUUCACAGCCACUCCCAGAGCAGAAGAGUCUUGCUACAAUAUGGUGAGAAGUCAAGAAAUCUCUGGUGGGAAGCUGCCUUGCACCCUACACAUAAUCUGCCCCUGCAUAUCCUUCAGAAAGGUUACUGUUCUCAGCCUGCAUUGGCAUCUACAGUGAACCAAAGUUCAUCCCACCCACCUUCCCUUCUGGGCCCUGGUGAAGAAAGUGAAGCUCAAGGAGGAUAAGUGCUUUCCUGCCAGUUCACACAACUAGCAACUGGAGAACUAGAUUGAAAAUCUGGGGACUACACUCUGCACAGGACCUCUGAGCUCCUGCACGUUCUGCAGGUGAAGGCUUCCUGCAAGCUCCCUGCUUGGGUCCACUCUGGAGAUUGAAUGUUUAAAGGAAACCCAGGAUUUGGUUUCAUCAGGAAUUAGCUAACACUGGGAGGGGCCACCCUUCUACUUCAGCAAGAUGUCAGAUAUCAAAGAAUCAGAUACAGAAACUGGAAAACAUGGUUACUGCAAUGAGGUUUCUGGACAGCUUCAGCCUCUGGAGCUUCUGCAGGCCAAAUGCCAGUGAGGCUCAGAGUGGGGAGCAAAUGGAGAAGGUGACACCUUUCCCUAUAGACUGUGGGCUCCAGUCUGUCAGCAAACAACCUAUUCAUUUGUUUUGUAUCUGUUUUCAUUCAGUGACGUUUAUAACAUUCUAAAUUGUCAGUUUAAGUGUAGUUUCACUACUGGGGAUUGUUUUUAGGUAAUCACCAGGGGUCUGAUUUUAAAUCACAUUCUAUUACAAUUGCAUGACAAAGUGAGAUGUCAAUUGUUUUAAUGUUUUCUCAUUUAUUGUUCUUUAGCUACACAAGAAUCUUAAGGAGCUACAAAAAUUGGUGGAUAUAUUGCCAUCAAUUAAGCAUAAGGACACCAUAGUGGAAUUUGGGUCAUUCGACCCUUCCUGCCUGAUGCCCACCUGCCCGGAUUACUGGACCUACUCAGGAUCCCUGACUACUCCACCACUCUCCGAGUCCGUCACCUGGAUCAUUAAGAAGCAGCCUGUAGAGGUUGAUCAUGAUCAGGUACAUUCUUUCCACAUUUCUGUAUAAGGAAAGUCUAGUUUUCCUCUUCAAAACAAGCCUGGGCUCAAACUUUGGGAUCAGUUUUUAACUUAUAAUGCUUAUACAUUUUUAUUAAAAUGUGCUAACUUCUUGUCUAAUUUGGGUAUGAAUUAGAAAGCUUUAGUGAACCAGGGAAAGGUGUUAAAACAUAGAACAUAGGCUUUUUGCUUUCAUUCUUGACAGUGACCUAUAUUUUGCUGUAUACACAUUGGGUAGAGUCUCUAUAAAAAUUAAAACUCUUUUAAAUGAGAAAAAAUGAAGGCUGGAAAUAGCUGUUUAAAACGUUUUAGUUAAGUAAAUUUUACUAAGGAAUCUUAGAGUAGAGACAGAAUCCAGUAAAGCCUAAAUAGAAAUUUUAUUCUAAGUUGGGAGUUUAGACUUGGUAUUUGUUUCUCCUUUAGAAAUUAAGUGUAUUGUAUCAACAUACAAAAUCCUGUUUAAUAAAUUAACUAAACUAUAAUAACUGUUUUUACUUGUUUACAUUGGAUUUUUAUUGAUUUUUUUUUCAUAACAAAAUCUUCCAAAUUCUUUUUUUCAAGGCCAUGUAACAAUGAAACUAAAACACACUAAAUGUUGGGAUGCCCCC
Myotis davidii is the source of this 2054-nucleotide RNA transcript. RefSeq lists it as uncharacterized. The record is from RefSeq and is a predicted model, not a curated record. Lineage: Eukaryota; Metazoa; Chordata; Mammalia; Chiroptera; Vespertilionidae. The transcript is spliced from 5 exons.